UUGGCACUUGCACUCAAAAAAGAUGGCGCGGAAGACCUCAAGCGCGUCACGCGACCCGUCCGCAGGACUCUUGCGCGGCUCAUAUUCCCGCACACGGCGACCCAGAGCGGGAGGAGGAAGCAUGGACUGGGGGGCGGCUGUGGCCGGGGAGGCUCUUGGCCGCUGUUGUGUGGCUGCGCUGCUGGAGCUGCCGGGCGGGAUGCUGUACCCCCGGAAGAGACCGUCGCAGGAGCUCCAGGAGCUGGACGGCCUCUGGAGCUUCCGCGCCGACUUUUCCGACAGUGGACACGGGCUUCGAGGAGCAGAGGGCUGGUGAAUUACCAGAUCUCCGUCAAGUGUAGUAACUAGUUCGAGUUGGAAGUGUAUCUUUUGGAUGCAGAAAACAAAGUCGUGGACAAUGUGGCCAGGACCCAGGGCCAGCUGAAGGUGCCGGGUGCCAACCUCUGGUGGCCAGACCGGAUGCACGGACGCCCCGCCUACCUGUACUCGUGGGAGAUCUGAGGGAAGGACUUCGACUGUCUGCUGCUGGUGAAGGACUUCAACCUGCUUUGCUGGCUUGGCACCAACGCCUUCUGCACCAGCCAUUAUCCCUACACAGAGAAGCUGCAGAUGUGUGACCGGGAUGGGAUUGUGGUUAUUGAUGAGUGUCCCGCUGUGGGCCUGGUGCUGCCAUGAGUCCCUGCUGUGCACCUGCUCCAUCUGGCCAGCCCAUGGGCCACACCGUGCCUCUGUCCCUUCCCUCCUGGCCCCCGGCAGCUCUUCAGCAAUGUGUCUAUGCAUCACUACAUGUGGGUGAUGGAAGAACUGGUGCACAGAGACAAGAAUCACCCUGCCCUGGUGAUGUGGUCUGACCAACGAGCCUGCGUCCUACCUAGAAUCUGCUGGCUACUACAUCAAGUGAGUGCCCCCGGCCUGUCCUGGGCUGGAUCGGGAAGGAGACCCUGGCAGGUGGCAGACGGGUGGACGUGUGCAGUCCGAGAUCAGCGUCCCAUCCCACCCCAAUGGGAGGGCCGUCCAUACCCGGACAGUUCAGGGAACCAGAUAUCCACCUACCCAAAUUGUGGUUUUCUUUUUCUAUGUUUUUGAGACGGAGUUUUGCUGUGUCGCCCAGGCUGGAGUGCAGUGGUGAGAUCUGGGCUCACUUCACCCUCGGCCUCCUGGGUUCAAGUGAUUC
Piliocolobus tephrosceles (Ugandan red Colobus) is the source of this 1174-nucleotide long non-coding RNA. RefSeq lists it as uncharacterized. Lineage: Eukaryota; Metazoa; Chordata; Mammalia; Primates; Cercopithecidae. The record is from RefSeq and is a predicted model, not a curated record. The transcript has 3 exons.